Molecule: ribosomal RNA, 460 nt
Filed under: uncultured bacterium
Lineage: Bacteria
Description: partial 16S ribosomal RNA
Rfam family: Bacterial small subunit ribosomal RNA
Source: RNAcentral
CCUACGGGUGGCAGCAGUGAGGAAUAUUGGUCAAUGGGCUUACGCCUGAACCAGCCAAGUCGCGUGAGGGAAGACUGCCCUAUGGGUUGUAAACCUCUUUUGGCAGGGAGCAACGCCGGCUACGUGUAGCCGGACUGAGAGUACCUGAAGAAAAAGCAUCGGCUAACUCCGUGCCAGGAGCCGCGGUAAUACGGAGGAUGCGAGCGUUAUCCGGGUUUAAUGGGUUUAAAGGGUGCGUAGGCGGAAUGCCAAGUCAGCGGUAAAAUGGCGGGGCUAAACCUGGAAUCGCAGUUGAAACUGGCGUUCUUGAGUGGGCGAGAAGUAUGCGGAAUGCGUGGUGUAGCGGUGAAAUGCAUAGAUAUCACGAAGAACUCCGAUUGCGAAGGCAGCAUACCGGCGCCCAACUGACGCUGAAGCACGAAAGCGUGGGUAUCGAACAGGAUUAGAUACCCUUGUAGUC